Molecule: ribosomal RNA, 377 nt
Filed under: uncultured bacterium
Lineage: Bacteria
Description: bacterial SSU rRNA
Rfam family: Bacterial small subunit ribosomal RNA
Source: RNAcentral
GAUGAACGCUGGCGGCGUGCCUAAUACAUGCAAGUCGAACGGAGUGCAGCAAUGCAUUUAGUGGCGACCGGGUGCGUAACACGUAGCUGACCUGCCCCUCAGCGGGGGACAACAGGCCGAAAGGCCUGCUAAUACCGCAUGAGCUUUGGCUUUCUAGAAAGGCCAAAGGAAACUUUUGGGGCUGAGGGGAGGGGGCUGCGGCCCAUCAGGUAGUUGGUGAGGUAACGGCNCACCAAGCCGACGACGGGUAGGGGGCCUGAGAGGGUGGUCCCCCACACUGGAACUGACAAACGGUCCAGACUCCUACGGGAGGCAGCAGUAAGGGAUAUUGCGCAAUGGGCGAAAGCCUGACGCAGCAACGCCGCGUGGAGGAUGAA